GAUCAUGGCUCAGAACGAACGCUGGCGGCAGGCCUAACACAUGCAAGUCGAGCGGACCUUUCGGGGUCAGCGGCAGACGGGUGAGUAACGCGUGGGAAUAUGCCCUUUGGUACGGAAUAGCCUCGGGAAACUGAGAGUAAUACCGUAUGUGCCCCUCGGGGGAAAGAUUUAUCGCCAAAGGAUUAGCCCGCGUUGGAUUAGGUAGUUGGUGGGGUAAUGGCCUACCAAGCCGACGAUCCAUAGCUGGUUUGAGAGGA
This 257-nucleotide ribosomal RNA is filed under the name uncultured bacterium. RNAcentral describes it as "partial 16S ribosomal RNA". It matches the Rfam family "Bacterial small subunit ribosomal RNA", at positions 15 to 300 of the family's 1533-position model. The record is from RNAcentral.